Molecule: ribosomal RNA, 1765 nt
Filed under: metagenome
Description: bacterial LSU rRNA
Rfam family: Bacterial large subunit ribosomal RNA
Source: RNAcentral
AAAAAAUAGGGGAUGAGCUGUGGAUCGGAGUGAAAGGCUAAUCAAAACUGGAAAUAGCUGGUUCUCCUCGAAAUGCAUUGAGGUGCAGCCUCAGGUGAAUACCGUCGGCGGUAGAGCACUGACAGGGCUAGGGGCCGCGAGGUUACCAACCCCUUUCAAACUCCGAAUUCCGAUGAGUACUACCUGGGAGUGAGACAGUGGGAGAUAAGUUUCAUUGUCGAGAGGGAAAGAGCCCAGACUGCCGGCUAAGGCCCCUAAGUGUAUGCUAAGUGGUCAAGGAAGUGAGAGAUCACAGACAAUCAGGAGGUUGGCUUAGAAGCAGCCACCCUUUAAAGAAAGCGUAAUAGCUCACUGAUCGAGAUGUCUUGCGCCGUAAAUAUAACGGGGCUAAGCAUGCCGCCGAAGCCGCAGACUCGCAUUAGCGAGUGGUAGAGGAGCGUUCCAGUUGCAGCGAAGAUGCAUCGGCAAGGUGUGUUGGAGCGGCUGGAAGUGAGAAUGCUGACAUGAGUAGCGAUAAAGGAGGUGAAAAUCCUCCUCGCCGGAAGCCCAAGGGUUCCUGUCCAAGGACAAUCCGGGCAGGGUUAGCCGGCCCCUAAGGUGUAGCCGAAGGGCGAAGCCGAUGGGAAGCAGGUGAAUAUUCCUGCGCCGUCGAUGUUGAGUCGAGCAGGGACGGAGAAGGGUAGGUCAGCCGGGCGAUGGAUAUCCCGGUAUGCCUCUGUAGGCUGGAGUUGUAGGAAUAAAACGCGACUCUAAGGCCGAGGGAGGUGUCGAAAGUGAUUGAUCCCAUACUUCCAAGAAAAGCUGCGUACGAUGUUGAAACAUAGACGACCGUACCCCAAACCGACACAGGUGGGCGAGUGGAGAACACUAAGGCGCUUGAGAGAACUCGGGUUAAGGAAUUAGGCAAAUUGACACCGUAACUUAGGGAUAAGGUGUGCCGCUUGUACGUGAACCUCCUUGCGAGGGGAGCAGAAGGCGGUCGCAGCGAAGCGGCGGUAGCGACUGUUUACCAAAAACACAGGUCUCUGCGAAAUCGUAAGAUGAUGUAUAGGGACUGACGCCUGCCCGGUGCUGGAAGGUUAAGAGGAGUUGUUAGGGUAACCGAAGCAGCGAAUCGAAGCCCCAGUAAACGGCGGCCGUAACAAUAACGGUCCUAAGGUAGCGAAAUUCCUUGUCGGGUAAGUUCCGACCUGCACGAANGGCGUAACGACUUCCGCACUGUCUCGACCCGAGACUCAGCGAAAUUGACAUGGGGGUGAAGAUGCCCUCUACCCGCAGAAAGACGGAAAGACCCUGUGAACCUUUACUCUAACUUGGCAGUGACCUUNGGUUCAGCUUGUGUAGGAUAGGUGGGAGGCUUUGAANNCGGGACGCCAGUCUCGGUGGAGCCGACCUUGAAAUACCACCCUAGUUGUUCUGAAUGUCUAACCCGCGCAAGCGGGGACACUGUCUGGUGGGGAGUUUGACUGGGGCGGUCGCCUCCCAAAAUGUAACGGAGGCGCACAAAGGUCCCCUCAGCUUGAUUGGAAACCAAGCGNAGAGUGCAAUGGCAUAAGGGGGCUUGACUGCGAGAGGGACACCUCGAGCAGGUACGAAAGUAGGUCAUAGUGAUCCGGCGGUUCCGAGUGGAAGGGCCGUCGCUCAACGAAUAAAAGGUACUCCGGGGAUAACAGGCUGAUCACGCCCAAGAGUUCACAUCGACGGCGUGGUUUGGCACCUCGAUGUCGGCUCAUCGCAUCCUGGGGCUGGAGCAGGUCCCAAGGGU